This 497-nucleotide ribosomal RNA is filed under the name uncultured bacterium. RNAcentral describes it as "partial 16S ribosomal RNA". It matches the Rfam family "Bacterial small subunit ribosomal RNA", at positions 28 to 507 of the family's 1533-position model. The record is from RNAcentral.
GAUGAACGCUGGCGGCGUGCCUAAUACAUGCAAGUCGAGCGAACGGACGAUAAGCUUGCUUCUCUGAUGUUAGCGGCGGACGGGUGAGUAACACGUGUAUAACCUACCUAUAAUACUGGUAUAACUUCGGGAAACCGUAGCUAAUACCGGAUAAUAUUUUGAACCGCAUGGUUCAAAAGUGAAAGACGGUCUUGCUGUCACUUAUAGAUGGAUCCGCGCUGCAUGAGCUAGUUGGUAAGGUAACGGCUUACCAAGGCAACGAUGCAUAGCCGACCUGAGAGGGGGAUCGGCCACACUGGAAGUGAAACAGGGUCAAGAGGACUACGGGAGGCAGCAGUAGGGAAUCGUAGGCAAUGGGCGAAAGCCUGACGGAGCAACGCGGAGUGAGUGAUGAAGGUCUUCGGAUCGUAAAACUCUGUUAUUAGGGAAGAACAUAUGUGUAAGUAACUGUGCACAUAUUGACGGUACCUAAUAAGAAAGCAACGGCUAACUACGUG